AGAGCAAGGCUGUUCCAUCUCGAAAGCCCCGUUGGCUUCUCACUGUCUCUCAGUGUCCUUGGGUGGACCUCCACAGCUCACGUGACUCCACACCCCACAGCUUCCUGACUCUGAAGUCCUGUCAUGGGACAAACUCACAUCAGAUGCAGGGUGCUGAAUGGGUUUUAAAGUGUGUAUGGAGUCCUCCCUCUCCCGCAGAUAUCAGAGUGGUCAUAGUACAAGUCUGGGCUCUUAUCAUCAUAAAGGAUACUUUAUAUGACAGGGCUAGGGACAUCUCAGAUUGAAGCGACUUUGGGACCCAUUUGGGAGUGACAAUCCAGGCCUGGGUGUUUGUAGAUCAUCUCUUACUGUAACAGGCCCCCAGAGCUUAGUACAUCCUAAGACCUUAGGACAUCUGAUGUCAUGUUAGAGACAUUAUCGUGACCUUAAAACUGGUCUCAGAGCGGCUCUGUUGUAGAUGACCAACCCCCUAAUUAUGACUGAUUCGGGGGCAUGCGGGAGAGGAAGACCUGAGAAAUCACUCAUCUUUCCACUUCAUACUCACCCGUUCUUUGGUGAGAAAGUUGUACCUGCAUGUCAUCCAGGGUCACCGAUCUGGGAGGCCUCAUGUCCACUGUGGCUUCCUGUCUGCUAAGAACACUCUCCCC
Molecule: long non-coding RNA, 647 nt
Filed under: Mus musculus (house mouse)
Lineage: Eukaryota; Metazoa; Chordata; Mammalia; Rodentia; Muridae
Description: predicted gene 45274
Source: RNAcentral